This 1490-nucleotide ribosomal RNA is filed under the name uncultured bacterium. Its description in RNAcentral is "bacterial SSU rRNA". It matches the Rfam family "Bacterial small subunit ribosomal RNA". The record is from RNAcentral.
AGAGUUUGAUCCUGGCUCAGGACGAACGCUGGCGGCAUGCCUAAUACAUGCAAGUCGAACGCGACCAGCCGGUGCUUGCAUUGGCGAAGUCGAGUGGCGAACGGGUGAGUAACACGUGAGAAACCUACCCUGGAGUGGGGAAUAACUCGAAGAAAUUCGAGCUAAUACCGCAUACCUUCUUACCGUCGAAUGGUGGUUUGAAGAAAGAUUUAUCGCUCUGGGAGGGUCUCGCGGCCUAUCAGCUAGUUGGUGAGGUAACGGCUCACCAAGGCAUCGACGGGUAGCUGGUCUGAGAGGACGAUCAGCCACACUGGAACUGAGACACGGUCCAGACUCCUACGGGAGGCAGCAGUGGGGAAUAUUGCACAAUGGGCGAAAGCCUGAUGCAGCGACGCCGCGUGAGGGAUGACGGCCUUCGGGUUGUAAACCUCUUUCAGUAGGGACGAAGCGUAAGUGACGGUACCUAUAGAAGAAGCACCGGCCAACUACGUGCCAGCAGCCGCGGUAAUACGUAGGGUGCGAGCGUUGUCCGGAAUUACUGGGCGUAAAGAGCUCGUAGGUGGUUUGUCGCGUUGUUCGUGAAAACUCACAGCUUAACUGUGGGCGUGCGGGCGAUACGGGCAGACUAGAGUACUGCAGGGGAGACUGGAAUUCCUGGUGUAGCGGUGGAAUGCGCAGAUAUCAGGAGGAACACCGGUGGCGAAGGCGGGUCUCUGGGCAGUAACUGACGCUGAGGAGCGAAAGCGUGGGGAGCGAACAGGAUUAGAUACCCUGGUAGUCCACGCCGUAAACGGUGGGUACUAGGUGUGGGUUUCCUUCCUUGGGAUCCGUGCCGUAGCUAACGCAUUAAGUACCCCGCCUGGGGAGUACGGCCGCAAGGCUAAAACUCAAAGGAAUUGACGGGGGCCCGCACAAGCGGCGGAGCAUGUGGAUUAAUUCGAUGCAACGCGAAGAACCUUACCUGGGUUUGACAUGUACGGAAUUUGCCAGAGAUGGCUUAGUGCUCGAAAGAGAGCCGUAACACAGGUGCUGCAUGGCUGUCGUCAGCUCGUGUCGUGAGAUGUUGGGUUAAGUCCCGCAACGAGCGCAACCCUUGUCAUUAGUUGCUACAUUCAGUUGGGCACUCUAAUGAGACUGCCGGUGACAAACCGGAGGAAGGUGGGGAUGACGUCAAGUCCUCAUGGCCCUUAUAGGUGGGGCUACACACGUCAUACAAUGGCUGGUACAGAGGGUUGCCAACCCGCGAGGGGGAGCUAAUCCCAUAAAACCAGUCGUAGUCCGGAUCGCAGUCUGCAACUCGACUGCGUGAAGUCGGAAUCGCUAGUAAUCGCGGAUCAGCAUGUCGCGGUGAAUACGUUCCCGGGUCUUGUACACACCGCCCGUCACACCAUGGGAGUGGGUUUUACCAGAAGUAGUUAGCUUAACCGCAAGGAGGGCGAUUACCACGGUAGGGCUCAUGACUGGGGUGAAGUCGUAACAAGGUAACCGUA